GUUAGGAAUAUUGGACAAUGGGCGAAAGCCUGAUCCAGCCAUGCCGCGUGAACGAUGAAGGCCUUCGGGUUGUAAAGUUCUUUAGCCGAUGAUUAUAAUGACUGUAGUCGGAAAAUAAGCCCCGGCUAACUUCGUGCCAGCAGCCGCGGUAAUACGAAGGGGGCGAGCGUUAUUCGGAAUCACUGGGCGUAAAGCGUGCGUAGGCGGUUUUGUAAGUGAGGAGUGAAAGCACAGGGCUCAAACUUGGAAUUGCUCUUAAAACUGCAAGGCUCGAAUCUCGGAGAGGAUAGUGGAAUUUCCAGUGUAUCAGUGAAAUGCGUAGAUAUUGGAAGGAACACCAGUGGCGUAAGCGGCUAUCUGGACGAGUAUUGACGCUGAGGCACGAAAGCGUGGGGAUCAAACAGGAUUAGAAACCCGUGUAGUCC
RNAcentral lists this ribosomal RNA (425 nucleotides) under uncultured bacterium. Its description in RNAcentral is "partial 16S ribosomal RNA". It matches the Rfam family "Bacterial small subunit ribosomal RNA", at positions 354 to 796 of the family's 1533-position model. The record is from RNAcentral.